UUUAUGACCUCUGACCUCAAAUCAGGUAGGACUA
Molecule: ribosomal RNA, 34 nt
Filed under: Ganoderma adspersum
Lineage: Eukaryota; Fungi; Basidiomycota; Agaricomycetes; Polyporales; Polyporaceae
Description: partial 28S ribosomal RNA
Source: RNAcentral